CACCCUAGCUGUCACGGAAAGACGCAUUCGUCGUGCUAUAUACAGUUAACCGAAAGUCUGCGAAGUUUGUCCACUGCUUCAUUCACGCAACCAACCAACAGAUUGGGUCCCAUUGCUCUGCCCCUCCCCUUCCCCCUUAUUUUUCUUCUUCGUGGCAUGCGCUUGUGCAUCUUGGUUUUUAUCGUUUUACACGCAAAGAAGCGAUGCGCGUACUGCCUUAAACAGGGGCAUGCCAAAAUAGCCGUUGAGCGUUGGCGACCAGACGACUUUUUCGGCAAUGUUCGGGUUGUUAUUGUGACGCAGUGUGGGACGUGAGCGGCGCGGUCAAGGUUCGAUGCUGCGAAUAAGAGGCUGCAGCCGAUAGACGGACUGGAUGGACAUGUAUGUGCCAAAUUCAGCGCUAAGUUGACGGAGAAUGAGCCGACUAUACAGAGCCAAAACAAGCAGAUGACGGCGCCCGUGCUAAACGCCACGUCCUCAGUGAACAUGAAUGGUGGACGUGCGCCCCGUUUGCCGUCAGUCGGAGGCUGCCUGUUCGACGGUGACUCCCGGUGCACUUGUUUCAUCAUCGACGCAAGUGCCAACGCCGACAAUGUUUCCUGUCUGAAAGCCAGUGCCUGUCAACUCCAGGCGCACCUCGACACCCCCCCUCUCCUCGUCACGGCCGGGGUUUUCCCCCUGGGUGGCCCCUUGCGGGAUUAUGGCGCCGUUGAUAUAUGCUGCACCUCCCGCACGCAGGUGAGCGCAUUACUGUUGCUUGGCCACGUAAAGGAUUUCCAUUCCCCGUGCAUUCUUGGUUCAACCCACAGCGAACUGCCUCUGUGAUGCGCUAUUUCACAACCGACAGAAGCCAGGCCGACGUCGCAGCCGACAGAUGACCAUUUGUCGAAUUGUAGCUGUCAGCCACGGCGGCGGA
This is a non-coding RNA of Dermacentor albipictus, 916 nucleotides long. The record is from RefSeq and is a predicted model, not a curated record. NCBI's taxonomy places the organism in Eukaryota, Metazoa, Arthropoda, Arachnida, Ixodida, Ixodidae.